This 74-nucleotide transfer RNA is filed under the name Cordylochernes scorpioides. RNAcentral describes it as "tRNA-Thr". The record is from RNAcentral. Lineage: Eukaryota; Metazoa; Arthropoda; Arachnida; Pseudoscorpiones; Chernetidae.
GUCCAGGGAUGGGAAUCGAACCCACAGUGUUCCGCUUACUGGGCAGAUGCUAUGUUCCACUAGGCUACCCUGGA